Molecule: ribosomal RNA, 482 nt
Filed under: uncultured Desulfarculaceae bacterium
Lineage: Bacteria; Pseudomonadati; Thermodesulfobacteriota; Desulfarculia; Desulfarculales; Desulfarculaceae
Description: bacterial SSU rRNA
Rfam family: Bacterial small subunit ribosomal RNA
Source: RNAcentral
CAAAUGAAUUGACGGGUCCCGCACAAGCAGCGGAGCGUGUGGUUUAAUUCGAUGCUACGCGAAGAACCUUACCUGGGUUUGACAUCCUUUGACCGCCCUGGAAACAGGGUUUAUCCGAUUCGUCGGAACAGAGUGACAGGUGCUGCAUGGCUGUCGUCAGCUCGUGUCGUGAGAUGUUGGGUUAAGUCCCGCAACGAGCGCAACCCUUGUCUCUAGUUGCCAGUAUUAAGUUAGGGACUCUAGAGAGACUGCCUCGGUUAACGGGGAGGAAGGUGGGGAUGACGUCAAGUCCUCAUGGCCUUUAUACCCAGGGCUACACACGUGCUACAAUGGGCUGCACAAAGGGUCGCUAGCUCGCGAGAGUGCGCUAAUCCCAAAAAGCAGUUCUCAGUUCGGAUUGGAGUCUGCAACUCGACUCCAUGAAGUUGGAAUCGCUAGUAAUCGUGGAUCAGCACGCCACGGUGAAUACGUUCCCGGGCCUU